RNAcentral lists this ribosomal RNA (245 nucleotides) under uncultured Pelotomaculum sp. Its description in RNAcentral is "partial 16S ribosomal RNA". It matches the Rfam family "Bacterial small subunit ribosomal RNA", at positions 524 to 768 of the family's 1533-position model. The record is from RNAcentral. Lineage: Bacteria; Bacillati; Bacillota; Clostridia; Eubacteriales; Desulfotomaculaceae.
AACGUAGGGGGCGAGCGUUGUCCGGAAUUACUGGGCGUAAAGGGCGCGUAGGCGGUUGUAUAAGUCAGAGGUGAAAACUCCGGGCUCAACCCGGAGCCCGCCUCUGAAACUGUAUGACUUGAGGGCAGGAGAGGGGAGUGGAAUUCCCAGUGUAGCGGUGAAAUGCGUAGAUAUUGGGAGGAACACCAGUGGCGAAGGCGGCUCUCUGGCCUAACCCUGACGCUGAGGCGCGAAAGCGUGGGGAG